UAUAAAUAUCGACAAAUUACUCAUAUAGUUCCCAUAAUAAGGUUGGGGAGUUUCUACAGAAGACCGUAAAGCUUCUACUAUGAGUGAAAGUGCGGCUAGG
Molecule: non-coding RNA, 100 nt
Filed under: Tissierella creatinophila
Lineage: Bacteria; Bacillati; Bacillota; Tissierellia; Tissierellales; Tissierellaceae
Also listed under: 1 other name
Description: Guanine sequence
Rfam family: Purine riboswitch aptamer
About the family: Riboswitches are metabolite binding domains within certain messenger RNAs that serve as precision sensors for their corresponding targets. Allosteric rearrangement of mRNA structure is mediated by ligand binding, and this results in modulation of gene expression.
Source: RNAcentral